Molecule: ribosomal RNA, 303 nt
Filed under: uncultured bacterium
Lineage: Bacteria
Description: partial 16S ribosomal RNA
Rfam family: Bacterial small subunit ribosomal RNA
Source: RNAcentral
AGCAGUAGCCGCGGGAAUACGAAGGGUGCAAGCGUUAAUCGGAAUUACUGGGCGUAAAGCGUGCGUAGGUGGUGGUUUAAGUCCGUUGUGAAAGCCCUGGGCUCAACCUGGGAAUUGCAGUGGAUACUGGAUCACUAGAGUGUGGUAGAGGAUAGUGGAAUUUCCGGUGUAGCAGUGAAAUGCGUAGAGAUCGGAAGGAACAUCUGUGGCGAAGGCGACUAUCUGGGCCAACACUGACACUGAGGCACGAAAGCGUGGGGAGCAAACAGGAUUAGAUACCCCGGUAGUCCCUGUCUCUUAUAC